AUACGUAGGGAGCGAGCGUUACCCGGAAUUACUGGGCGUAAAGAGCACGUAGGCGGUUGGAUAAGUCUUCUGUGAAAGCUCCCGGCUCAACUGGGAGCGGUUUAUGGAUACUGCCUUACUUGAGUGUGGGAGAGGUGACUGGAAUUCCCGGUGUAGUGGUGAAAUGCGUAGAUAUCAGGAGGAACACCUAUGGCGAAAGCAGGUCACUGGCCCAAAACUGACGCUCAGCUUCGAAAGCUAGGGGAGCAAACAGGAUUAGAAACCCCAGUAGUCC
This 274-nucleotide ribosomal RNA is filed under the name uncultured bacterium. RNAcentral describes it as "partial 16S ribosomal RNA". It matches the Rfam family "Bacterial small subunit ribosomal RNA", at positions 523 to 796 of the family's 1533-position model. The record is from RNAcentral.